Bos taurus (domestic cattle) is the source of this 484-nucleotide long non-coding RNA. NCBI's taxonomy places the organism in Eukaryota, Metazoa, Chordata, Mammalia, Artiodactyla, Bovidae. The record is from Ensembl.
CGUGGAGGGUUGCAGUCCAUCGGCACGUGGUGGAGGACUUAUUAAGAACCAUAAUCCACUGUGGAAGAACUCCAUGCCCAAGCUUAACCAUGAACUUGCUAAGCUAGAGAGGAAAGCACCAGAGUGUUUUCCAAUGAGUCAGCUCUUCACAUCAGGAGGCCAAAGUAUUGGAACUUCAGCUUCAACAUCCCUUAAGGAGGAACCAAAGUUGUGCCAGCGCAGGUUCAUCUCUCCAGGCAUUCUUUUCCCAUCAGAGGAAACUUGAAGAUGCUCAGGACCACACCAAGUGGUGGUCGGUGCAGGAGGUCAGCGUGGUGACACCAACUGGAGGCUCUCUCCUGGGUGAUUUCCUGAAAUCAGCUCCCCACGGCACAGGCCCCCAUCUAUUGUCACCAAAGCUAGCUUGUCCCAGCUCCAUAUUUUUAUCUUCUCUUGCUUUUGAUAAAACGAAUGUAUAUCCUUUCCCAAGAGAGCAUUAAAGAUA